Molecule: long non-coding RNA, 352 nt
Organism: Nematolebias whitei (Rio pearlfish)
Lineage: Eukaryota; Metazoa; Chordata; Actinopteri; Cyprinodontiformes; Rivulidae
Exons: 3
Source: RefSeq, a predicted model, not a curated record
CUCACAGCGAGCAGCUCGAGGAGCAGAAAGCAGCGUCGUCUUGCUGGGAACAUGCAACAGCGAGUAAAAGAAGCAGCAGAAGGUGAUCAGAGGUUUGGAAACCCACAUCUGUCUCGUCCAGAGACUCAACCUGAACAGAACAAAAUCUGAGGAAGAUGAACAGCAUCACGUGUAAAGAAGGAGCAGAAAGAGGAGGAGAUGAUGGUAUAUAACAAAGGCUGCAGCUGCCUUUUCUUCUUCUUCUCUUAAAGCAGGGUGAAAAAUGACAUAAUGGCAUUCAUGCUCAGGUGACCUCACUUGAACACUGAUACUCUUGAAAUUAAUCUGACUGUUUAGUCUUUUUAAGAUGUGU